AGGCUAAUCCGCCCUGGGUAAGUCGGGACCUAAGGCGAGGCCGACAGGCGUAGUCGAUGGACAACGGGUUGAUAUUCCCGUACCGGCGAAGAACCGACCAAACUAAUCCAGUAAUGCUAAGUAGCUGAAGCUGCUUACUGAUGCCUUCGGGCAGAGGUGGGCAGUCGAGCCUACGACCCUAUUCUGGUGCGGUUAACGUAUUAACAGGUGUGACGCAGGAAGGUAGCCUCCGCGGGGCGAUGGUUGUCCCCGUUUAAGGAUGUAGGGCGAGAGAUAGGCAAAUCCGUCUCUCACAUAGCCUGAGAUCUGAUGAUGAGUCCUUAUGGACGAAGUGGGUGAUCCUAUGCUGCCAAGAAAAGCAUCGACGUGAGGUUCAAGCUGCCCGUACCCCAAACCGACUCAGGUAGUCAAGUAGAGAAUACUAAGGGGAUCGAGAGAAUCGUGGUUAAGGAACUCGGCAAAAUGCCCCCGUAACUUCGGGAGAAGGGGGGCCUGAGGCGUGAAGACAUUUACUGUUGGAGCGCUGUAUGGCCGCAGAGACCAGUGGGGAGCGACUGUUUAUCAAAAACACAGGUCCGUGCGAAGUCGCAAGACGAUGUAUACGGACUGACGCCUGCCCGGUGCUGGAAGGUUAAGAGGAUGGGUUAGCUUCGGCAAAGCUCAGAAUUUAAGCCCCAGUAAACGGCGGUGGUAACUAUAACCAUCCUAAGGUAGCGAAAUUCCUUGUCGGGUAAGUUCCGACCUGCACGAAUGGCGUAACGACUCCCCAACUGUCUCAACCGCGAACUCGGCGAAAUUGCACUAUGAGUGAAGAUGCUCAUUACGCGCAGAAGGACGAAAAGACCCCGUGACCUUUACUAUAGCUUGGUAUUGGUGUUCGGUGCUGCAUGUGUAGGAUAGGUGGGAGACUAUGAAGCUUGGACGCUAGUUCAGGUGGAGUCAUUGUUGAAAUACCACUCUUGUAGCCCUGGAUAUCUAACCGCGAACCGUGAUCCGGUUCCGGGACAGUGCCUGGUGGGUAGUUUAACUGGGGCGGUUGCCUCCUAAAAAGUAACGGAGGCGCCCAAAGGUUCCCUCAGCCUGGUUGGUAAUCAGGUGUCGAGUGUAAGUGCACAAG
RNAcentral lists this ribosomal RNA (1117 nucleotides) under marine metagenome. Its description in RNAcentral is "bacterial LSU rRNA". It matches the Rfam family "Bacterial large subunit ribosomal RNA", at positions 1362 to 2363 of the family's 2925-position model. The record is from RNAcentral.